GGAGUCCGGAUGAAGUUUACCAUCAGUCGAGGUCGGGGAUGAAGUCCGGCUCCCGUAGGAGUCCGGGCGGAGUCUUCCCGUAGCCGGAGUUGGAGACGAGGUCUGGNNNNNNNNNNNNNNNNNNNNAGUCGAGGUCGGGGAUGAAGUCCGGCUCCCGUAGGAGUCCGGGCGGAGUCUUCCCGUAGCCGGAGUUGGAGAAGAGGUCUGGCUCCCAUAGGAGUCUGGGCGAAGUCUACCUGCAAUUAGAGUCAGGGGCAAAGUCUGGCUCCCGUAGGUGUCCGGAUGGAGUUUACCAUCAGUCGAGGUCGGGGAUGAAGUCCGGCUCCCGUAGGAGUCUGGGCGGAGUCUUCCCGUAGCCGGAGUUGGAGACGAGGUCUGGCUCCCGUAGGAGUCUGGGCGAAGUCUACAUGCAAUUAGAGUCAGGGGCGAGGUCCGGCUCCUGUAGGAGUCCGGAUGAAGUUUACCAUCAGUCGAGGUCGGGGAUGAAGUCCGGCUCCCGUAGGAGUCCGGGCGGAGUCUUCCCAUAGCCGGAGUCGGAGACGAGGUCUGGCUCCCGUAGGAGUUUGGGCGAAGUCUACCUGCAAUCAGAGUCAGGGGCGGAGUCCGGCUCCCGUAGGAGUCCGGAUGAAGUUUACCAUCAGUCGAGGUCGGGGAUGAAGUCCGGACGGAAUUUACCAGCAAUCGGGGUCGAGGACGGAGCCCGGCUCCCGUAGGAGUCCGGGCGAAGCCUUUCCACAAUCGGAGUUGGGG
Molecule: long non-coding RNA, 750 nt
Filed under: Elaeis guineensis (African oil palm)
Lineage: Eukaryota; Viridiplantae; Streptophyta; Magnoliopsida; Arecales; Arecaceae
Description: long non-coding RNA (EGUI_LNC019295)
Source: RNAcentral